This 505-nucleotide ribosomal RNA is filed under the name uncultured bacterium. Its description in RNAcentral is "partial 16S ribosomal RNA". It matches the Rfam family "Bacterial small subunit ribosomal RNA", at positions 28 to 507 of the family's 1533-position model. The record is from RNAcentral.
GACGAACGCUGGCGGCGUGCCUAAUACAUGCAAGUAGAACGCACAGUUUAUACCGUAGCUUGCUACACCAUAGACUGUGAGUUGCGAACGGGUGAGUAACGCGUAGGUAACCUGCCUGGAGCCGGGGGAUAACUAUGGAAAACGUUGGCUAUACCGCCAAAAUAUUAAUUAUGCCUGGAAAAUUAAUUAAAGGUUGCAAUGGAACCACAACCAAUGGACCUGGCUUUGUUUUAGCUAGUAGGUGAGGUAACGGCUCACCUAGGCGACGAUACAUAGCCGACCUGAGAGGGUGAUCGGCCACACUGGGACUGAGACACGGCCCAGACUCCUACGGGAGGCAGCAGUAGGGAAUCUUCGGCAAUGGACGAAAGUCUGACCGAGCAACGCCGCGUGAGUGAAGAAGGUUUUCGGAUCGUAAAGCUCUGUUGUAAGAGAAGAACGGGUGUGAGAGUGGAAAGUUCACACUGUGACGGUAUCUUACCAGAAAGGGACGGCUAACUACGUG